This 301-nucleotide ribosomal RNA is filed under the name uncultured bacterium. RNAcentral's name for it is "partial 16S ribosomal RNA". It matches the Rfam family "Bacterial small subunit ribosomal RNA", at positions 509 to 807 of the family's 1533-position model. The record is from RNAcentral.
CAGCCGCCACGGGAAUACAGAGGGUGCAAGCGUUAAUCGGAAUUACUGGGCGUAAAGCGCGCGUAGGUGGUUUGUUAAGUUGGAUGUGAAAUCCCCUGGCUCAACCUGGGAACUGCAUCCAAAACUGGCAAGCUAGAGUAUGGUAGAGGGUGGUGGAAUUUCCUGUGUAGCGGUGAAAUGCGUAGAUAUAGGAAGGAACACCAGUGGCGAAGGCGACCACCUGGACUGAUACUGACACUGAGGUGCGAAAGCGUGGGGAGCAAACAGGAUUAGAGACCCCUGUAGUCCCUGUCUCUUAUAC